AGUGCUGUAGCUCAGUGGUACAGCACCUGCUUUGCAUGCAGAUGGUCCCAGGUUGAAUCUCCAGGUAGGACUG
Molecule: non-coding RNA, 73 nt
Organism: Podarcis lilfordi (Lilford's wall lizard)
Lineage: Eukaryota; Metazoa; Chordata; Lepidosauria; Squamata; Lacertidae
Source: the annotation of a GenBank genome assembly